RNAcentral lists this ribosomal RNA (418 nucleotides) under uncultured bacterium. RNAcentral's name for it is "bacterial SSU rRNA". It matches the Rfam family "Bacterial small subunit ribosomal RNA", at positions 355 to 787 of the family's 1533-position model. The record is from RNAcentral.
UGGGGAAUAUUGCACAAUGGGGGAAAGACCCUGAUGCAGCGACGCCGCGUGAGCGAUGAAGUAUUUCGGUAUGUAAAGCUCUAUCAGCAGGGAAGAAAAUGACGGUACCUGACUAAGAAGCCCCGGCUAACUACGUGCCAGCAGCCGCGGUAAUACGUAGGGGGCGAAGCGUUAUCCGGAUUUACUGGGUGUAAAGGGAGCGUAGAUGGCGAUGCAAGCCAGAUGUGAAAGCCCGGGGCUCAACCCCGGGACUGCAUUUGGAACUGUAACGCUGGAGUGUCGGAGAGGCAGGCGGAAUUCCUAGUGUAGCGGUGAAAUGCGUAGAUAUUAGGAGGAACACCAGUGGCGAAGGCGGCUUGCUGGACGACAACUGACGCUGAGGCUCGAAAGCGUGGGGAGCAAACAGGAUUAGAUACCC